Molecule: ribosomal RNA, 253 nt
Filed under: uncultured bacterium
Lineage: Bacteria
Description: partial 16S ribosomal RNA
Rfam family: Bacterial small subunit ribosomal RNA
Source: RNAcentral
UACGGAGGGUGCAAGCGUUAUCCGGAUUCACUGGGUUUAAAGGGUGCGUAGGCGGAUAUGUAAGUCCGUGGUGAAAUCUCUGGGCUUAACCCGGAAACUGCCAUGGGUACUAUGUGUCUUGAAUGUUGUUGAGGUGAGCGGAAUAUGUCAUGUAGCGGUGAAAUGCUUAGAUAUGACAUAGAACACCAAUUGCGAAGGCAGCUCACUACACAGUCAUUGACACUGAGGCACGAAAGCGUGGGGAUCAAACAGG